UCUACAAGUUCUUUAUAUCCUUGCGCUUAAGAGCCUUGUUUGUCCCUUCGGGGACAUCCGAUAAAAUUGGAACGAUACAGAGAAGAUUAGCAUGGCCCCUGCGCAAGGAUGACACGCAUAAAUCGAGAAAUGGUCCAAAUUUUUUUGCUCUUUUUUCUGCCAAAUUUUUGUGCCCUUUGAAGUCUUCGAUGGUUCGGUGGCUUCGUCUUUGAUCUUCCAGCUAGCUAUGAUUUUAAUGAAGACAAAAUAAGUUGGAAUGUUUGUCAAGUGGAAAAUGGGACGGUUUAAUUUGAUGGUUGCAAAGCAAAUUUGAAAUUGACAAUUACUUGACAGAGACUGCAGUUUGAAGACAGACGGAUAGGCAAGAAAUCAUGGCAGGAAGGAGAUUUCCAGGGGAAUCGUAGGAAGGUGGCCGGCAGCACUGGGUGGAGGUGUCGGGUAUGUGCCGGUUUGUGCAAGACCAUCGCGGUGAAACAAACUUACCUGGUUCUGUACAAGUAUAUCCAAUAAAUACAAGGCGGUAAAAAUCCCCUUAACUACGUAUUUCUAUCACAAAGAGUUAUUGCUGUAGACUGGAAAAUGUACUUUUAUUUUUAUUUUUUAUUUUUUAUCAGGAACAAAAACAAAAUUUAGACUUCAAUUUCUUACCACUAAACAAGUCAGCGGAAAUAACCACUAAGCAGGUUAUAUCAAGAAUAAAUUAAAACUCGUCAAAAUCAGAAAAGAUCCCAUAAAACACACAAUAAUCACAAUCGGGCAAACUCUGCUAUGCUUUUCUCAAAAAUACAGAUGCGAAGAUCAGUCAUCUCUCCGGGAACCAUUUCCAUGAAAACAAGUAGAAGCAAGUGACUUUUAAUGAUAAAGGCAAUGCCUAAAAAAUAAGGAAAGAUAAUAUAACUCUGACCCAUUUAAAGCCUGGUAGAUGAUAAUAUCCCUGAUUUCCAUGACUGGACAGAACAAAGAGUUUAUUAAAAUCUUAUAAUGGAGAAUACACUGACCCUCAAACUACAGAAUUUCAAAGGAUAUGUAAAAUCUAUUUCCUGACAUGUAGAAGAAACAGAUGUCUUAAUCAGGUUUCAGAUGCUACACGGACAAGUAACGCAUUUCUGAAUAUAAGCAGCAUCCCACCAGAAAGGUUUCUAAUAACACAAUUUCAGUACAACGCUAGCAUUGUGCCUGAAAGCUCCCCACACACCCUACUUCCUGACGAAAAUAGAGACUUACUACCAAUAAAUUGAGCACCGCAAGAUAUAUAAGAGUGACUAAUAUAAACUCAAACUCAUGGGUUUGAGAUGAUCUCACAAAGGAUUAAAGCCAAUAAAACUCACAAGGUUGGGCAAAAAGCCUCCUCAAUGACAACUCAUGCUGAAGAAAAAGAAAUGCCUGGUAUAUAAAGAAUGAACAAAUAGCAUCUUGGUACUCAGUUCCUUCCACAUGAGGUCCAUGGCUCUCCUAAGUAUUUUCGAAAACGUACUUGAACCCUCCUUGGUCCAAGGUAAGGUAGAAAACCAUCCAGCAUUAAAGGUUCAACACAUACUUGAACCAUGCAGAACAACUUAAAUUCCUUUUCAAGAUGAUAGAUUUGAUUAAAAUAAAUCCAAUAAGAAACCCAAGCCAAAACCAAGUAUAUGAAGGAUGAAAUAUGAAUAGCUACUGCAUCCCUUUUUAAAAUCCAAUCUACGUAAUAACACUUAUUCAUCACACCAUGACCUUUGUCUGGGUUACUACGUUGGCUUUAUGGCUGAAAAGCUCAAAAAUAAAAACACAGAGGCAAGAAAGUGUAAAUUCUAACAAUUCAUCAACUCCACGUCUCAACCCUUGAUUUUCUAAUACAAAAAAUAGGCGCUAAAAUUUAGCAAAAGUAUGGAGUGACAAUACAGCGAAAACUUCACUUUCAUGAUACCAACGAAAUUUAUGCAUGUAAAAACAUCUAUCACAUGUCAAUGAUAGGUAGCAAAAAUAAAUGCUUGAUUAUAUCAAAUUGGCAUUCACAUUCUUUUGCAUCUCUCAAGGGUAUUCAAUUGAAGCAUAACUAACCCUUAAUGGAAAACAUGCCAAACAUGUUAAAGAGCCAGUGCUGAGAUACAAAAAGACAUGUGGUGAAACCUAAAGAUCCCCAAAGUAUCAAACAAGUUUUAGAAGAUGAGACUACAACAUAAUCCAAGAAAAUAAACCAAAUGAAUAUUCAUUUAAAAGGGUCAACCAACCUCCUUAAUUUUAUUAUGUCACUGAGACUGCGUUCAUAAUACAGUAUUAAUAAAAACCUUUGACUACAGUGUUAUUUAGCAACCCAAAUACUUCUAAAACUUCAGAGAAAAUUUUCAAUCGGUGUCCUCCACACAUUUGUAUUCUUAAGGUGAUUUGUAGAAACGCAUGGCAAUCACAACUCCUGGCUCCAAUGCCAUGAUUCAGCACUUUAACCAUCCCCGCUUAUGCUCUAUACGACACAAUUAUAUGAAAAAUAAAAAUACUAAUGCACUCAAUAGUUCGAGAAUGUUUAGUUUAGGAACUGACACUAGAGCUUAUACACAAUAACAAGAACAUUACACAGCCCCACCCUAAAGCAUACCCCCAGUAGCCGUCCAUGUAAAUAGUCACAUCAUUUAAUAGAACUUUUUUUACACAUCGAGCAUCAUUCUAACCAAAAACUAUAACAAAUUUGUACCAUUUAUGGUCUUCAACACAGACCAAUAGUCAACACUGUAAAUCUGUAAGCAUAACAAAAUGGUUCCAGUCCAGGUGCCCAUUUAUGCACAUAGAUAACAUCCAAGUCAUAGAAUUUCCACAAAUGUAUCUAUCCUAUUCCUACCAUUUAGCUACUGAUACCACUAGAUAAUUGAAAUUAUAAACACAAAAACUGUAAUUAGAGGCAAGAAAAAAAUGAACUAUUUGAAAACAUUAAUCAGUUAAACAUUCAAGCAAUUAAAACAGCUAAAUUAUGAAGUGAUCAAGCGUCACAUGAAAAGCCCAAUAAAACAUCCCCAAACCCUUAUUUCAACUACAUAUCAUAUCAACAACCGAAAACCCAUUUCAACUCAAAAAAGAAGGAUCGAUCUGAGAACGAACGAACCGGCAUACCCAGAUCGAAUUUCAGUCAGAUUCAGACGACCCAGCAACAGAAAGGCCGGCCUGCUCGAUCUCGAGCCGUUCGAGGGCUUUCUGGUGGGCCCAGGUCUCGAUGGUGAGAUCGGGCUUAGCGUUGAGGCCGACGCCAAGGAUAACGAUGGUGAGGAAGCUGGUGACGUAGCAAGGGAGCUCCCAGUCCUCCCAUUUUCGAGUCUGGCCUGGGGACAGCGGGGUCCGGUUGAAGAGGUAACCUUUGGGUUGCUCCUCGUGGCCCGGGCUGGUCCACCGGCUCGGACCUGUGGCUGAACCGCCGCGAGUUCGGAGAGUCUGGAUGAGGCGCUGGCGGAGCAUUGUGGAGGCGGGUAUGGUAAGACUUUCCUCCCAGCUAGAGAGAGAGAGAGAGAGAGAGAGUAGAGUGAGCU
Prunus persica (peach) is the source of this 3488-nucleotide long non-coding RNA. RefSeq lists it as uncharacterized. Lineage: Eukaryota; Viridiplantae; Streptophyta; Magnoliopsida; Rosales; Rosaceae. The record is from RefSeq and is a predicted model, not a curated record. The transcript is spliced from 2 exons.